Dermacentor silvarum is the source of this 654-nucleotide long non-coding RNA. RefSeq lists it as uncharacterized. Lineage: Eukaryota; Metazoa; Arthropoda; Arachnida; Ixodida; Ixodidae. The record is from RefSeq and is a predicted model, not a curated record. The transcript has 3 exons.
UAACUUGCUUACAGUAGCGGCAAAUAUGACCCACACAGCGAAACUCACCAUGCGAAAUCCGCGAGGUCGUGUUAAACCAUUGUCACAGACAUCACCAUUAUCAUCAUCAUCACCAUCAGCUGAUUUUUGUGCACAAGCUUUCGAACGCUCAGACACGGCCGUAAACUGUAUGGUUAAGAACCUCUGUGGCCGUACAAGUUGUGUGAACGGUUGUUUAGCUGGCAGCACGGAAACGCCUCCUACACGAUGCCGGUUAUCCGAGAGGCAUACAAGGCUAAGUGUAAAACGACAUACGGAAUGUCCGAGGAAGCUGCCGUUUGGAUAGAACUGGCUCGGCAGAUUUUCUUGAAGGAUAUUGCUGAGAAGUGCCGCAAAAUGGUCAACAAGGAGCCGAAGAAAAGGACACUGAAAAGAAAAGGUGUUGCGAGAGCUUACAAGAGCAGGUUUAUCGUGGUGUGACAAAGACCAAGACACGAGGGAGACGGUGGUCGCUGACACUACCACAAUCCAGUCUUCGGCUGUAACAACACAUGUAACCUGUACUUGCACUGCAUGGUCAGUGGUGCGUUGACCUGGCUUUCUGUAAAGGUGUCAACUGUUGUCAGUCAUUGUGGUGUAUUGUUUUAUUCUUUUACAUUAUACGUGAAAGAGUGU